UCCCUGGUGGCUCAGGUGGUAGAGAGUCUGCCUGCAAUGCAGAAGACCUGGGUUGGAUCCUUAGGUGGGGAA
Bos taurus (domestic cattle) is the source of this 72-nucleotide non-coding RNA. The record is from Rfam. NCBI's taxonomy places the organism in Eukaryota, Metazoa, Chordata, Mammalia, Artiodactyla, Bovidae.